GGCCCAGUGGUUUAGUGCUUGUGCGUUAGGCUUGAAACCAAAGGGUCCCAAGUUCGAAUCCUGACUAGGGCA
Non-coding RNA from Rhamnusium bicolor, 72 nucleotides. The record is from the annotation of a GenBank genome assembly. NCBI's taxonomy places the organism in Eukaryota, Metazoa, Arthropoda, Insecta, Coleoptera, Cerambycidae.